This 72-nucleotide transfer RNA is filed under the name Camelus bactrianus (Bactrian camel). It matches the Rfam family "tRNA". Rfam says of the family: Transfer RNA (tRNA) molecules are approximately 80 nucleotides in length. The record is from Rfam by way of RNAcentral. RNAcentral also lists the same sequence under 2 other names. Lineage: Eukaryota; Metazoa; Chordata; Mammalia; Artiodactyla; Camelidae.
UGGGGUAUAGCUCAGUGGUAGAGUGCAUGCUUAGCAUGCACAAGAUCCUGGGUUCAAUCCCCAGUACCUCCA